GAUGAUGGAGUGGCCGGCCUGCUGUGAAUUGGUUGUUGAUUCUGGGUUUUCUGCAGGGACAAAAACAAUGGCGAAAACCAAUACCCCUCGCUGUGUUUCUCCUUGAUUUUUCUCUUCUUUCGGUGUUUUUUCUUUGCUUUGUUUUGUGCUCUGUUUGGUUUCCCUCUGUCCCCUGGAUUUCGACCUCUGCCGUUCCACCCCCCC
This 204-nucleotide long non-coding RNA is filed under the name Populus trichocarpa (black cottonwood). RNAcentral describes it as "long non-coding RNA (PTRI_LNC004784)". The record is from RNAcentral. Lineage: Eukaryota; Viridiplantae; Streptophyta; Magnoliopsida; Malpighiales; Salicaceae.